Long non-coding RNA from Thunnus maccoyii (southern bluefin tuna), 287 nucleotides. RefSeq lists it as uncharacterized. NCBI's taxonomy places the organism in Eukaryota, Metazoa, Chordata, Actinopteri, Scombriformes, Scombridae. The record is from RefSeq and is a predicted model, not a curated record. The transcript is spliced from 4 exons.
AUGAAGUAUUUUCUAGUUGUAUAAUUUCUGGGCUUUGUUCAUUUGUCCAGGUGCAGACGCCACAACAGCAACAUCUGCAACCAAUGAUGCUACAAUUACACCACAAGAUUGUUCUGCUCUGAGCUACAUAAUGUUGGUGAUGCAUGUGGCUGAACUCCUCCUCAUCACUGUGAUUACUGUUCUUCUCUUCAGAGCUCGAGGGAACCAGAGACCACCUGAUGACAACAUUGAUUUAAACUCAGUAAGAAGCCAAACAGUGAAGCGUUCUGGUCCAGCAGCCAGUCAGG